Daphnia magna is the source of this 1203-nucleotide long non-coding RNA. RefSeq lists it as uncharacterized. The record is from RefSeq and is a predicted model, not a curated record. Lineage: Eukaryota; Metazoa; Arthropoda; Branchiopoda; Diplostraca; Daphniidae. The transcript has 3 exons.
UGAAAACAGUCGGACACUGUCGCUGUUGGUGGAAGGAGAACAAGUGGAGAGGGAGACGGAUGGUUCUGGGCCCAUCAUUCCACUUUUCCCACUUUCCUUUUCGUACCGUAUCUACCUCCCCUAGAGAGAUGACAGCGCCAUUGGGACCUAACCAACUUCCUGCAAAACUCGUCCGCACAUCUGUAAACAAGUCUUUUGUUCAGCUCCCGUAAUUGCGGCUGAGUCGGUAACAAAAGAAAUAGGUUGAUGCUUAAUCUAAAUGGACGUGCAUGGAUCAAAAGCGAUUGCAUUUAGCUUGGUUGCUCUUAUUGGCCUUUUUGAACGUGGCCAAAAUGAUGAAAUGGUGCCAUGCGAGAUAUAAUGAGAUCUACCACAAGAACACGGAUGAGUUCAAAAGAUAAUUCUAUCGGAGCGGUGCACGGAAUCAUGCAGUGCGCGUGCCGCAGACAGCAACAACCUUGAUGCAUAUCGGACGAGAUUGAGUUACAGGCUGCCAGCAAACAUCGGGGCACUUCCAGGCGUGUUUCAAAUGGAAAAUAUGAUGAGUAUCGACGUCGAUAGUGCAAGCGCGUUGACGGAUCGGCAGGUUUUCUUGGUCUUGAAAGGAAACUUCAAAAGGCCACCCCUUUUUAUUUCUCGUGACCGCGGUUCGUCUAUUUGAAUGUAGCUUCAAGCCAGCUAGACGUCGCGUUUGCCUGAAAGAUGAACCGCCAUGAAUCAAACCACAUGAAGCUGAUCAAAUAAAACAAUAUUUUUUGGUGGAUUUGGAUAAAUAAAUAACUCAAUUUCCCAACGGCAUGUUUCCGCAAGACAAUGGAGUAUGUAGUUACGUAACAUUGCUGUGAAAAAGUAGGGACGGAAAAAGUAAAAGGGAAACAAACAACGAAAAAUGACGAGGAACAAAAUGAUACAGCAAGUACAAAACGAAGCGUACGGCACGUGUUUCCACCGACGGCAAACAAUAUCAGAUUAUGCCUUAUUCGUACUGGCACCCCCUUCCCCCCAACUAUUCCGGCCGGAAAACAUUAUCGUUGUUGUACAACAAAUCUCGUUAUUUUGAAUCUGAAAGUUCAGUGUUCGCAAAUUCGGUGCUAGUCCCAUCGUACUCCGUCCUAGACUAACGGCUCUGAUAUCCCGGAAUUAGCUACUUCUAAAUAAUAAGAAAUCUUAUUUUCUCAAUUAUCAUCGAUCGGCUAGGGCAUA